UGGUAAUGCCGGAUGUUCCAGUUGAUCGCAUGGUCUUCUGGGAAAGCUUUCGCGGUAUGGGAUGGGGUCGCGUCCUAUCAGCUUGACGGCGGGGUAACGGCCCACCGUGGCUUCGACGGGUAGCCGGCCUGAGAGGGCGACCGGCCACAUUGGGACUGAGAUACGGCCCAGACUCCUACGGGAGGCAGCAGUGGGGAAUAUUGCACAAUGGGCGCAAGCCUGAUGCAGCGACGCCGCGUGAGGGAUGGAGGCCUUCGGGUUGUAAACCUCUUUUAUCGGGGAGCAAGCGAGAGUGAGUUUACCCGUUGAAUAAGCACCGGCUAACUACGUGCCAGCAGCCGCGGUAAUACGUAGGGUGCAAGCGUUAUCCGGAAUUAUUGGGCGUAAAGGGCUCGUAGGCGGUUCGUCGCGUCCGGUGUGAAAGUCCAUCGCUUAACGGUGGAUCCGCGCCGGGUACGGGCGGGCUUGAGUGCGGUAGGGGAGACUGGAAUUCCCGGUGUAACGGUGGAAUGUGUAGAUAUCGG
RNAcentral lists this ribosomal RNA (524 nucleotides) under Bifidobacterium longum subsp. infantis. RNAcentral's name for it is "bacterial SSU rRNA". It matches the Rfam family "Bacterial small subunit ribosomal RNA", at positions 161 to 700 of the family's 1533-position model. The record is from RNAcentral. Lineage: Bacteria; Bacillati; Actinomycetota; Actinomycetes; Bifidobacteriales; Bifidobacteriaceae. RNAcentral also lists the same sequence under 1 other name.